UCACAAGCCACGAGGAGGAGCGGGGUGUUCUCUCCUGAGCGCGAAGCGGGCGGGCGGUGCUGCUUGUGCAGGGGCCGCUCGCCAUUGAUGACCGUUCUCGGUGCCCUUUGUGGUGCCGGGAGGGAGAGAACACGGGCUGAGUGGU
Molecule: small nucleolar RNA, 145 nt
Filed under: Manacus vitellinus (golden-collared manakin)
Lineage: Eukaryota; Metazoa; Chordata; Aves; Passeriformes; Pipridae
Description: Small nucleolar RNA U3 (ENSMVIG00005007652.1)
Rfam family: Small nucleolar RNA U3
About the family: Small nucleolar RNAs (snoRNAs) are involved in the processing and modification of rRNA in the nucleolus. There are two main classes of snoRNAs: the box C/D class, and the box H/ACA class. U3 snoRNA is a member of the box C/D class.
Source: RNAcentral